This 125-nucleotide non-coding RNA is filed under the name Nitrospirota bacterium. The record is from RNAcentral. Lineage: Bacteria; Pseudomonadati; Nitrospirota.
CGGCAAAGAACCUUUUCAGGUGCUGAAAAGCCUAAAAGGGAAGAGGGUGAGAAUCCCUCACGGACCCGCCGCUGUGAUCGGGUUGUGUCAUCGCAAAGUGGUCCUGUUCGUAAAUAUGGUGAAGC